AAUAUAAGAAAGUUAGAUGUUCUGGAAAAGACCUAACUGCCCUUUUGCUUCCAUGUUGCUCCACGUGGAUAACUUACUAGCCUUUGCUAUGCUCCCAAAAUACUUCAUGCUAUCACGUUUUCUGAACAAAGCCAAAUACAAGCAUUUCCAAAUAUUUUAAUUUCUUUUCUAUUUCUCUCUCUAGCACAUCCUUCUCCCUUCUUUCUUCCUUCUUCAUUCUUCCUAUUCCGUCUUCCUCUUCUGUCUUCUAAUCUUCUUCGUUCUUCCUUUUUUUUCUCCUGUCUUCUACGACAUGACUUUAUGAUUUCAAAAACAAAUCUACAUUUGUUAUUAACAAUAUUGCUAACGAAACUCUAGCCGAAGACAAAAGAACGGCUCGAAGUCUUCCUACAGAUGUCAGUUUGCUUUCGUCGCAUUUGUGACCGGCAUCCACCGUUUGGGGUCUAAAUAAUCCACAUCUGCUGAUUCAAUGGUUAUUACGAAGAGGUUGUCCAAGGAAGAAAUUGGUUGUUUAAAAGAGUGUAGAUUUCAAAUUUGGAGUGGCAUGCCCUUUUGAUUGAUAACUCAAAUAACAGGUAAUAGUUAGUUUGGAGUAACUUUCAAAGGAGAAAAGGAGUCGGUGAACGGGCAUAUGGCAACUUAUUUCUUUGUUUCACAAGUUUUAACAAAUGCAGUAAUUUUGGUAUGUUAGUAUUACUCUUCUGUUCACUGAUGUUAUUAUUUUUCCACUAUCUUUUUGUUAUACGUCGAUUUUGCUGUUGUUCUUUGGUUUCACGGUAGUUAAAAUGAGCAUCAAGCACGCGUACGCAUCGAGGAAACAAGGGGAGGUUGUUUAUAAAGUGUGAAUGAAUGCAGUUAGACAAUGGUGAUAUCAUAUGCUUUCAUAAAGCUUCUGCAAUGGGUAACGGGUAACGGGAGAAAUUAAAUAUACUGAUAAAGCUUCAUUGGUUACAAGAUUGGUCAAAACUUUCUCGAUGUUUGCAUAGAUUAAAAUGUUUGAGUAUUGAGGGAAGAGGUUGCAAAUGGAGCCAUUGAAAUUCAGCGGUGCUUAUCCGUCGAGUGAGGAGUUAGAAUCUCUGGAAUUUAGAGGAACUAAAGCUCUUCCAAAUAUUAGCAUUGUGUGAAAAGAAAAAGUGUCCAGGAGAGGUUAUCUUGAUGAAAGCAAAGAAGCUGAGAGAGAACAAGUUAUUGAAUCUGAAAUUGAUUUGACGACUGGAAUUUACUCUACUGAAGUCAUCAAUACGGUAUCUACAUAGUUCAUUCAAUCAAAGGUUGACUGGAAUUUACUUUUGCAGGUUAUAAAUAAUUUUUUUAUUGUUUACUUUUCAUCUAAUGGCAUAGUUGCUUGGCUCAGUUUAAUGUCGCUUGGCAUCAAGGUUUCGGUUUCGGUGUUGCAACUGUGGUAUUUGAGACACUACUUUCAUUCAUGACUACUAAAAGUAUUGAUAACGUGUUUCAAUAUGAGGCGGUACUAAGCUUGAAUCAUUCCUUUUGCUGUUUGUUUUUACUUCAUCUACUUCUUCUCUGGUCCCUGCGUAUUUCCGUUGUGCAGGUUGUCGUAACUGUCGGUAUUACUUUACAGGUUCUGCGUAUUAGUUCUCAAAGUUUCUGAAUUUCUAACAUGUACAAAUAAUAAUGAGUUUUUGGUCUCAUUGUUGUUGCAGUAAGAUACUGGACAUGGUGGUUUCUGUGGAGUAUACUCUGAGGGAUGAUAGUGAGAGGGUUGAUUAAAGCUGUAGCAGUCCCAGAAGAGGAGGAGUCGUUCACCGGUACGAAGGUCAAGGACUUAGGUGAUGUCUGGUUUGAGAGUAAGUAGUAGGGCUUCAAUGGCACUAUACAGAAAUCUGGUGCUGAAGUCCUUUCCCUUGGAGAUGCUUCUGGAACAACUGUCUCUCAUGUGUCUGAUAUUAUUGGUCCAGUGGGUAUUAAUUAAAUAUUGUGUAUUUAACAAUUUGUGAUUAAGGAUUGAUUAGAAUAACAUUUUUUGUUUAUGUAGACUGGAGUUGUGUAUGCAGUAGAGUUCUCCCACCAAAGUGGGCUCAAUUAAAUCAUGAAACUUAUUUGUUGUACAAUCAGACAUGGGCGUGAGGAUAUAUUAUUCGGUUUCAGGAUCGAAUUCGUAUAAUUAUUCCACAGUUUUCUGGUUGUUCGAAUGGUGUUUCAGACCCGCUGAUGGACAAUAUUACGUGCUCCGUUUUAGAUUUUGCACCUGUGCCAAUUCCUGAAACAUUUAGUUAUUUCCAGUGGUUGAAAUUUCGAAAACUCUUGAUAGUGAUAUCCUGGAAGAAUACUUGGGCUGAAUGAAAUUUUCUGCAUUUUAUAGGUACUGUGAGUUUGUUUCCAAUAAGUCAGCUUUUGCCAAGUAUAUAUGGAUACAAAUCUGGUUCAGGAGCUUGCAGUAUUUGGGUGGACCCAUCAAAAAUCCUGAAAGUUUAUCAAAAGCAUGACGAAGUCUUAGUUAUAGUCCGAAAACAACUCUCGGUAGCAUGAUUUCUCACUUGGUUCUUUGACUAUUGGAUUAGCGUGACAUCGACGGUUGUUAUUUAAGUGACUUCAUAGAUGAUUGGGUGAAAAUUGGUUUUCCUGCCAAAGUCAAAGUGCUGAAAGAAUAUCCAAACCAUGAUUUCAAAGAACAAUGCAGACUCUGUGAAGUAGUUAGUUAAUUAUGUUGGAGAAUAUCCAAACCAUGGAUUCAAAGAACAAUGCAAACUUUGUGAAAUGUUGUUGAUAUGUGGAUGUCGGGAUAUCUGAUGUGUUGGAUUCAAUUCGUUGAGAUCAGAAUCAAUGUCCGGUUGAAGCUUGCAUGUCAGGGUGAUUUAUCGGUGUCCUUGAAUUGAAUAUUAUUGGAACUUUGGUGAUUUUUCUUUUCCUUGCUGGUUUAGUUGGUUUUUCUAAUUAGUAACAGCUAUGCAGUAACAGUUGUUUAAUUAGUUGGUUUUCUUAUUAGUAUAUUUUGGGAUGGCCUGGUUUUUUACAAUUUGAUUGAAAAAUUGUGUCAUCAAGAUAUGAAAAAUCCCUCAUACCCCAUAUGUUUAACUCGUGGCCAUUUUUUAUGUCUUAAUAGAGUUGCCAGGAGUUCUUUGGGUAUUGCCAAAUUCAUAUCUUGAUGUUCCUAAGUCCUAACAAGGACUAUGGAUGUGAGUGAAGUUGUUUAAAUUAAGAGUUUGGUUAACUAUUGGAUCAUUGUUUGUUAACUUGGUUAAUCUUUCCAAUUUCAGGUGAUUUGUUUAUUGAUGGUAAAAUAAUCCUUAAGCACAACUGAAACUAAGUUCAGGGAGGACAUAUGCCACCAUAAAAUUCUAAUGAAUAGUUGAAAUUUCUCUUAGGUGGUGGAGAAAGCCAUGAAAUGUAUAUUCGUUUAAACAAAUAUUUGGUGGGAAGAUCUUUGUUUUACAUCUAUCAUUGAAGUUACUUAUUCCAUUCUUUUGUUUAGAGCUGCACCUGUAUGGAUCUUUUGCUUGAUUGCAUGCAUUAAUAUUAUUCAUAUAAUCACAUCUCAUUUUGUGUAAUCCUGCAUUGCUUUUGUUGAAUCAGUCAUGUCAAUUCUCAUAUCAAUUUCAAACUUUAGGGCAAUAUGAGUUUUCUUUCAUUGGGACAAUUUUCAACUAACAUGGAUGUUAUUUACAGAUUUUAAAGGUGAUUACAAGAUAUUUUGGUAAAAAAGUCAGAAGAUUUUUAUAGACUUCGUAGGAACAUAUCGGUACCGGUCGGUUCAACCGGUUGGACCGGGAACCGGAUUUUGAUAUUCGGUCUAUUUAACUUUGAAAACCACAAUAUUAAAAAACCGGAUAACAAACUGGAAAACCGGUCGAGAACGGCGUAACCGACCAAAACCGACGGUUUGAGCGAUUCUUAUGGUUUGACUGGGCUUUUGAGUUUUCUUCAAUCUUCAUCCAUGGUUACAUGAUAAAAAUGCAUUGAAUCCCACUUCUAUGAAAAUCAACCAAAAAAAAAGUUAGAGGAAGUGAGAUUUCAUUCAGAUGAAAUGAACUUAUGAAAUUGAAAGGGAGUUGAGAAAAUGAAAAAUGAGAUGAAAUAAGAGUAAGAAAUUGAGAUGAAAGAGUGGAGGCGCAUCCUCUCUCAUUUUAGGUAUUUAGGGUUUCAUAUUGAAAUUGGGUCGGGUCAAUAAUUUUGAACUUAACUAAAGUAAAUAACAAAUAAAAGAAUUAACCACGUGACAA
Vicia villosa (hairy vetch) is the source of this 4181-nucleotide long non-coding RNA. RefSeq lists it as uncharacterized. The record is from RefSeq and is a predicted model, not a curated record. The transcript is spliced from 10 exons. NCBI's taxonomy places the organism in Eukaryota, Viridiplantae, Streptophyta, Magnoliopsida, Fabales, Fabaceae.